Molecule: ribosomal RNA, 484 nt
Filed under: uncultured bacterium
Lineage: Bacteria
Description: bacterial SSU rRNA
Rfam family: Bacterial small subunit ribosomal RNA
Source: RNAcentral
GAUGAACGCUAGCGGCAGGCUUAACACAUGCAAGUCGAACGGCAGCACAGGUAGCAAUACUGGGUGGCGAGUGGCGCACGGGUGCGUAACGCGUAUGCAACCUACCUCUAUCUGGGAGAUAGCCCGAAGAAAUUCGGAUUAAUACCCCAUAAUAUAUGUCUUUCGCAUGUUAGACAUAUUAAAGCUUUGGCGGAUAGAGAUGGGCAUGCGUGACAUUAGCUAGUUGGUAAGGUAACGGCUUACCAAGGCUACGAUGUCUAGGGGGUCUGAGAGGAUUAUCCCCCACACUGGUACUGAGACACGGACCAGACUCCUACGGGAGGCAGCAGUGAGGAAUAUUGGACAAUGGGCGAAAGCCUGAUCCAGCCAUGCCGCGUGCAGGAAGACGGCCCUAUGGGUUGUAAACUGCUUUUANAUGGGAAUAAACCUCCGAACGUGUUCGGAGCUGAAGGUACCAUACGAAUAAGGAUCGGCUAACUCCGUG